UCCGAAGGGGGCUAUCGUUGUUCGGAAUAACUGGGCGUAAAGCGCAUGUAGGCGGAUCUUUAAGUCAGAGGUGAAAUCCCAGGGCUCAACCCCGGCAUUGCCUUUGAUACUGGAGAUCUGGAGUCUGGGAGAGGUGAGUGGAAUUCCGAGUGUAGAGGUGAAAUUCGUAGAUAUUCGGAGGAACACCAGUGGCGAGGGCGGCUCACUGGCCCGAGACUGACGCUGAGAUGCGAAAGCGUGGGGAGAUAACAGG
This 253-nucleotide ribosomal RNA is filed under the name uncultured bacterium. Its description in RNAcentral is "partial 16S ribosomal RNA". It matches the Rfam family "Bacterial small subunit ribosomal RNA", at positions 524 to 776 of the family's 1533-position model. The record is from RNAcentral.